UACGAAGGGGGCUAGCGUUGCUCGGAAUCACUGGGCGUAAAGCGCACGUAGGCGGCUUCUUAAGUCAGGGGUGAAAUCCUGGAGCUCAACUCCAGAACUGCCUUUGAUACUGAGAAGCUUGAGUCCGGGAGAGGUGAGUGGAACUGCGAGUGUAGAGGUGAAAUUCGUAGAUAUUCGGAAGAACACCAGUGGCGAAGGCGACACACUGGCCCGUUACUGACGCUGAGGCGCGAAAGCGUGGGGAGCAAACAGG
RNAcentral lists this ribosomal RNA (253 nucleotides) under uncultured bacterium. RNAcentral's name for it is "partial 16S ribosomal RNA". It matches the Rfam family "Bacterial small subunit ribosomal RNA", at positions 524 to 776 of the family's 1533-position model. The record is from RNAcentral.